This 406-nucleotide ribosomal RNA is filed under the name uncultured bacterium. RNAcentral's name for it is "partial 16S ribosomal RNA". It matches the Rfam family "Bacterial small subunit ribosomal RNA", at positions 30 to 526 of the family's 1533-position model. The record is from RNAcentral.
AUUGAACGCUGGCGGCAGGCUUAACACAUGCAAGUCGAGCGAGCGGCGGACGGGUGAGUAAUGUCUGUGAAACUGCCUGAUGGAGGGGGAUACCUACUGGAAACGGUAGCUAAUACCGCAUACCAUCAGAUUUGCCCAGAUGGGAUUAGCUAGUAGGUGGGGUAAUGGCUCACCUAGGCGACGAUCCCUAGCUGGUCUGAGAGGAUGACCAGCAAAACGGGAACUGAGACACGGUCCAGACCCCUACGGGAGGCAGAAGUGGGGAAUAUUGCACAAUGGGGGCAAGCCUGAUGCAGCCAUGCCGCGGGUGUGAAGAAGGCCUUCGGGUGGUAAAGCACUUGCAGCGAGGAGGCGUUACUCGCAGAAGAAGCACCGGCUAACUCCGUGCCAGCAGCCGCGGUAAUAC